AAAUACUCCUGACUGACCGAUAGUGAACCAGUACCGUGAGGGAAAGGCGAAAAGAACCCCGGCGAGGGGAGUGAAAAAGAACCUGAAACCGUGUACGUACAAGCAGUGGGAGCACAGAGCAAUCUGUGUGACUGCGUACCUUUUGUAUAAUGGGUCAGCGACUUAUAUUCUGUAGCAAGGUUAACCGAAUAGGGGAGCCGAAGGGAAACCGAGUCUUAACUGGGCGUUAAGUUGCAGGGUAUAGACCCGAAACCCGGUGAUCUAGCCAUGGGCAGGUUGAAGGUUGGGUAACACUAACUGGAGGACCGAACCGACUAAUGUUGAAAAAUUAGCGGAUGACUUGUGGCUGGGGGUGAAAGGCCAAUCAAACCGGGAGAUAGCUGGUUCUCCCCGAAAGCUAUUUAGGUAGCGCCUCGUGAAUUCAUCUCCGGGGGUAGAGCACUGUUUCGGCAAGGGGGUCAUCCCGACUUACCAACCCGAUGCAAACUGCGAAUACCGGAGAAUGUUAUCACGGGAGACACACGGCGGGUGCUAACGUCCGUCGUGAAGAGGGAAACAACCCAGACCGCCAGCUAAGGUCCCAAAGUCAUGGUUAAGUGGGAAACGAUGUGGGAAGGCCCAGACAGCCAGGAUGUUGGCUUAGAAGCAGCCAUCAUUUAAAGAAAGCGUAAUAGCUCACUGGUCGAGUCGGCCUGCGCGGAAGAUGUAACGGGGCUAAACCAUG
Molecule: ribosomal RNA, 724 nt
Filed under: Escherichia coli
Lineage: Bacteria; Pseudomonadati; Pseudomonadota; Gammaproteobacteria; Enterobacterales; Enterobacteriaceae
Description: partial 23S ribosomal RNA
Rfam family: Bacterial large subunit ribosomal RNA
Source: RNAcentral